This 538-nucleotide ribosomal RNA is filed under the name uncultured bacterium. RNAcentral describes it as "bacterial SSU rRNA". It matches the Rfam family "Bacterial small subunit ribosomal RNA", at positions 8 to 522 of the family's 1533-position model. The record is from RNAcentral.
AGAGUUUGAUCCUGGCUCAGAGCGAACGCUGGCGGCGUACUUAACACAUGCAAGUCGAACGGGGAUCUUCGGUGUAGCAAUACAUCGGCGGUCCUAGUGGCGCACGGGUGAGUAACACGUGGGUAACCUGUCCUUGAGUUCGGGAUACCCUUUCGAAAGGAAGGCUAAUACCGGAUACGUUCCUCGGAUUGCGAAAUCUGGGGAGGAAAGGUGGCGAAAGCUACCGCUCUUGGAGGGGCUCGCGGCCUAUCAGCUAGUUGGUGAGGUAACGGCUCACCAAGGCUAUGACGGGUAGCUGGUCUGAGAGGACGACCAGCCACACGGGAACUGAGACACGGUCCCGACUCCUACGGGAGGCAGCAGUGGGGAAUUUUCCGCAAUGGGCGAAAGCCUGACGGAGUGACGCCGCGUGGGGGACGAAGGCCUUCGGGUUGUAAACCCCUGUCAGAGGGAAAGAAGGGUCGCCUGGCUAAUAUCCAGGUGAUCUGACGGUACCUUCAGAGGAAGCCCCGGCCACUCUGUGCCAGCAGCCGCGGUA